AAUCUUUAUACAUAAGGAACUUCGUUAAUUUAUUUUAGUGAUAUUUAUUAAAUUUUACGAAAGGGCCUUAUUUUUUUAAAGUAUUUCAAUGUGAAAUUACAUAUAAACAUAAAGUUUUUGGCGAGACUCUUGAGGGAACAGGUCAAGCUGAAGACUACAGGUUGAAGCUGUCCCCUAAGAAAGCGAGAAAACAAUACGAAGUAUUAUAAAUAAAGAAGCCAGUAA
This 225-nucleotide non-coding RNA is filed under the name Staphylococcus epidermidis. Its description in RNAcentral is "S. aureus tsr24 small RNA". It matches the Rfam family "S. aureus tsr24 small RNA". The record is from RNAcentral. RNAcentral also lists the same sequence under 1 other name. Lineage: Bacteria; Bacillati; Bacillota; Bacilli; Caryophanales; Staphylococcaceae.